GUGAGUUUUACAUUAACAAAAUCUUUAAUGCUGUGUGCACAGUCAGUUCCAUGCACAGACAUGAUUUGUCAGUCUGUUGGGUGUGGGUGGGUGAUGGUCACUGUAAGGUGUGUGUGGGUGAUGGUCACUGUAAGGUGUGUGUGGGUGAUGGUCACUGUAAGGUGUGUGUGGGUGAUGGUCACUGUAAGCUGUGUGUGGGUGAUGGUCACUGUAAGGUGUGUGUGGGUGAUGGUCACUGUUAGGUGUGUGUGGGUGAUGGUCACUGUUAGGUGUGUGUGGGUGAUGGUCACUGUAAGGUGUGUGUGGGUGAUGGUCACUGUAAGGUGUGCGUGGGUGAUGGUCACUGUAAGGUGUGUGUGGGUGAUGGUCACUGUAAGGUGUGUGUGGGUGAUGGUCACUGUAAGGUGUGGCUGGGUGAUGGUCACUGUUUUCUGUUACUGUAAAAGGUGUUUUGUGUUCUUUUUUAUAUCAUGCACACAGGCUGAUUACUCAGUUGAUUCAAAUUGUUCUUCUUGCUUGUUCCAUUACCAGUCAUAACCAUGAUACGCC
This is a long non-coding RNA of Esox lucius (northern pike), 549 nucleotides long. NCBI's taxonomy places the organism in Eukaryota, Metazoa, Chordata, Actinopteri, Esociformes, Esocidae. The record is from Ensembl.